AGCAGCCGCGGUAAUUCCAGCUCCAAUAGCGUAUAUUAAAGUUGUUGCAGUUAAAAAGCUCGUAGUUGAAUUUCGGAAUCUGUCCGUCGGUCGGGCUUCACUGUCCGUACUGGCGUGGUGGGUUCUUACCUUCUGAAUAACCAGCAUGCCAUUUACUUGGUGCAUUGGGGAAGUAGGACUAUUACCUUGAAAAAAUUAGAGUGCUCAAAGCAGGCUAGUGCCUGAAUACAUUAGCAUGGAAUAAUAAAAUAGGACGGCAUGGUUCUAUUUUGUUGGUUUCUAGGAUCACCGUAAUGAUUAAUAGGGAUAGUUGGGGGCAUUAGUAUUCAAUUGUCAGAGGUGAAAUUCUUGGAUUUAUUGAAGACUAACUUCUGCGAAAGCAUUUGCCAAGGAUGUUUUCAUUAAUCAAGAACGAAAGUUAGGGGAUCGAAGACGAUCAGAUACCGUCGUAGUCUUAACCAUAAACUAUGCCGACUAGGGAUCGGACGAUGUUAAUUUUUUAAUGACUCGUUCGGCGCCG
This 520-nucleotide ribosomal RNA is filed under the name uncultured Acaulospora. Its description in RNAcentral is "SSU rRNA". It matches the Rfam family "Eukaryotic small subunit ribosomal RNA", at positions 569 to 1088 of the family's 1831-position model. The record is from RNAcentral. Lineage: Eukaryota; Fungi; Glomeromycota; Glomeromycetes; Diversisporales; Acaulosporaceae.